Molecule: long non-coding RNA, 3343 nt
Organism: Felis catus (domestic cat)
Lineage: Eukaryota; Metazoa; Chordata; Mammalia; Carnivora; Felidae
Exons: 2
Source: RefSeq, a predicted model, not a curated record
ACCUUGGGGGCCGCGAGAAGGGGGGCAGGUAGGAUAAUGAGCAUCGUCGCUGUCGUUGUGCGGUCUGGGCUUCCUGGCCUCAUCCUGAGUCUUGUGGCUCCCAAGCAGCAGAGGCCAGAUUCAUCUGUGGGGCUCUGCAUUUUUUUUAGAUGACGAUACGGUGAUGGGAAAUAGCCAUCUCCCGAGAGCGCGGGGACAGACGUCUUGCUCCUGUGCCAUCCGAACCUCUGAGCGCAACCUCGCGUGGGCACGGAGCUGGAAGAGGGACUGGAGGCCGUUUGGGAAUGAGCGGGCAGGACGAGAAUGUUGUCCCUCGGGGAACACCCCAAAUCACGGCUGUGACCCUCAGUGCGGGUGUAACCUUGGGCAAGUCGAGACCGUCGCUUUUUAGAGCAGGUGAAUCCCAUUCUGUCUCCCAGGCCAAGGCCGAUGUGCAGGGACCUCUGUUGGGCGGCUGGCAGGAGGCCUGAUGCAGGGAGAGAAGGGAGGGGCCCGGGAGCCGUCUCGCAGCCUCUAUGGAGCCUGCUUGGCACAUCCAGCGGCCCUCUUGGGCCUCCUCUGCUCUGCCGUCUGGAGCCCGGGGCCCGCUCCAGGUAGCUGUCCCCUCGGAGGAGGCCUGGGGCACAGCCUUCUGCCGGGACCUCUUCUCUCCCAAACCCCAGUGGCAGGGCAGAAAGGAUCAGGCCACCGUCUCCUGGGAUCCGACCAGACACGGUGUCUGUGACUGCUUACCCGAGGCCACACCCCCUUUGCUUCCGGGCGUCCAGUGUCCUCGCUGUCCCCACACAGGGGAACCCACAGCCACACCGACUUUACCAGAAGCCUCACGGCCUUGCUUCCCCACACUGAGGCCCAAGGAUGGCACCUGUGCCCGAGUCAGUGAGGUGCAUCAGGAAGGGCCUCCGGGCCACGUACCCAUCUCGCUGUGGCCCGAGAGGAAAAGGAGAGAGAAAUCCACGCCACUCAGUAUAGUGGAAAUGCCAGAACACCAAAGACAAAGGGGGAUCUCCUUGGGAGGGUUCUAGAACCCGGAUUCUAGAUCCUGCGCUCUAGAAUCAGCUCUAACCCUCGUAAACUAUGGCGCUGAGCUGUCGUUUCGCCCCCGUCUGUAAAAGAAUGCCAGACGGCAGCUGCCAUGGGUAACCUCGCGGCGGUGAACGUAAGAGCCAACAACACCGAGCCCUGCACCUGCUGCUUUGUUUAUCACCAGCUGCAUGUCAAGCCCUGCGUUAAACACUUCCCACGGCUGAUCUCUAAUCCCUACAGCAGCCCCAAGAGGGAGACAGCAUAAUUCCCCAUUUGACGCAGGAGGAAACAGAGACCCAGAGCGGUUAAGCAACUUGGCCGAGAUCACACAGCUGGUAGGUGGGAACGCCGGAUUCGAGACCGCGUUGUAUCUCGUUCUAAAAAAGAGGAAACUACCAUUCCAGUGCCUUCCCCGCAGCGUUCAGGAAGCUCAGAACAAAUUAGGGGGUGCCCUACCAUUUCACCCACGGAUCACAGAGCCCUCCAGCUUCUGUCGGGACUUGGGGGGUUCAAGUUUCCUGCCAAUUGCACUUUCGGUCACAGAACGGAGAGGAAAUGGAAUCAUUAACGGCAUUGGAAUUUUUCUCCGAAGCCCAUUUGCUGCCUAUCUCCUGGAACAGCUACCCUAGCACACAGGAGCUUCUCUGCCAGGAGAGGAGGAAGCCCUGAGAUGGGAGAGGAAGAGUCUAGAAUAAAUGAUAACAGGAAUGCUGCCUAGGGUGUGCCCUCUGCCCUAGCUCCUCCCAGAAUGAGCCCCCGGGAUGCCCAUCAUGGAACCCCCUAUUGCUGGCAAAGCAAAGCAAGUGGGCUGUUGGUCUCAUCUUCUUAGGAAGCCCCCCCGCUCAGGUAAGUGCCUGGGUUCCGGGCCCUGAUUUCCCUGGCUUCGUCUCCAGAGGGCAUCAGUCCGUGCUUGGCUUCCCAGGGGGGGGUUCAGCCUCUUGCAGGGUCUUGGAUAAGCAGUAUGAUUAGGGCCAGCGGGUUCCACACGCACCCCACCCACGCCGGUCCUCACCGAGUACCUCCUACUUCAUAUGGACUUUCAGACCCUCAGAUAACCAAAGAGUGUCUCUCUAGGAACCGUUGGGUUAUGGCUGCUGUUUCUACCUUCCUUGGCCACUCACGUUCCCACAAACACAAGCCCACACAGACGUUUUUACUCACGCUUAACCCCGUCUCUCAUCCCCCCAAAUGUCCUGGUCCCUUUGGGGCACCCAAUUUCCCUAGCUUCAUCAGUUCGUUGGUACACGAAAGACCUCAGUGCUCCAUGGUGUUCGCUUCGAUUGUUCUGGUUUACCACGUCGAUGUAAGGACCUCCCCUCCAAGAUGGCUGCCCCCAGGAAGUGUAUUUCCGGGAAUCCACAAGAAAGGCCUCGUGCAGGUUCUCCAGAAGCCUAUCCUCUUGCCACUUGAAAACAAUCGCCCAUGACCACGGGGGCAUCAGCUCUCGCCCUCCAUCUCCACUGGGAAUUACACCCCCACUCUGGCAUCAGCUUUCCCUCACCCUUGCACGCUGCUCAUGGACACCCAUCGUGAUGACUCCGCCUUCUUGUGGGACCCAGGCAGGGGAGAAAUGCAUGCUUCCUCCACUCUGCGGGCCACUGUGUCAACUGGGCUCCCAAACAGCCCCUGUGAAAACAGCUGCACCACACGACAUGGGCCAGGGGCUGGGCCAGGGAGAGGGAUCAUGCUGUCUUCCUCCACGGCCGCUCAGCUCAGCUCCCGGCGUCUAUGCGAAGACACCUUCCCAACGCGCUCUCCCCCGUACAACGCCCUCUCCCUGGGACGUUGCCAGCCCACCAAAUCAGCAGAUGGGGCGAGAGGCUGACCCCCCUGGGCCCAGCCCGAAUCCUUGCUCAAAGUCCACACCAUGUUUUGCAGUUCUCUUGGCCAGUGGAUGACAGAAACUGGCAUCGCCCUUGUAUGAUCUCAUAGCCCCUCCAGAGUGCAGCAUUCAUGGGCUCUCAGCGGCAUUGCCUUAGCGAGAGCCAUAAUUUCAUUGGUUUGCAUUCACUCAUGAAGUUCUAAUUUGUCUUUUUCUUUUCAUGUCUUUGAGCUAUUUGAGGGCAGAGCCCAUGUCUUCAACAGUUUUGUACUCUGCCACGGAAUGUGGCCAUUCCCGGGCACGGAGGAGAUACUCCGUGGCCACCAAGGACUGAACCAGGGUCAACACGGGACACUUGGGGCGAGAUGGAACUUGACCCUGGAGGCCCCUCGAGGCCCUUCCCAAGGCUUACUUUUCUACAUUUCGAUUCUGGAAGAAUCUAUGGGAGAGGCGCCUAGAAAGGAAUAAAGGUCUAAUAAACACCAUCAUUUGGAA